UGUUAAAAAUUUCAUCCAUUUGUAUUCUUAAAAACCAAUAUGGCUGACGGAAUAACCAGAAAGUGACAUGUGUACAUGAACCACUUUUUAACAAUAGAAAUAGAUGAAAUUUUUAAUA
Gossypium hirsutum (cotton) is the source of this 118-nucleotide non-coding RNA. The record is from Rfam. NCBI's taxonomy places the organism in Eukaryota, Viridiplantae, Streptophyta, Magnoliopsida, Malvales, Malvaceae.